CUUUGCUCAGAUUCGACAUGCUAACCCAAACACGAGCUUAAGAAAUGAGGAUGUUGCUUGAAGCAAUGCCUGUGUAAACACUGAAGCUAAAAAUAGGUCAUCACGAACUGGAUUGAUAAGGAAACCAGCAUCCUCAAAAUGUAUGUGAAACACUCUGAAGCAGCAGCAGACUAUUCUCCUAUGCCCAAUGAUAUCCCUGACUUGCAACCAGCAAAUUAACUUUCAGGAUAUUAGUUUUUCUGCCAACUGCCACCUGAUCUAACAGAGAAAGCAGGGCUGGAAUUAUAACUCACUAGAUAUUGUAUGCCUGCCAGUUGGUAUUCCUACUUAUGCAGACAGUGUCCUGGCACAAGAGAACAGUGGCCCUUUUUCCACUUAUUCCUAUGGAGCUGUACACUCAAAGCUGGGAGCCCGAGUGGGCUAGCCCCUGUUCUACAUCUCAGUGUAGAACUUGACAUUAUGCACUGUGAGAAGCCAGUGAAAGGGAUAGCCUCUUCUUGGCCAUGAGUUUCUAGGUAUCCAGGAUACCAAGCCACUUUAAUGACUGUAUCAGACCUGCUUGCUGAUUUGAUUGUGCUGAUAUUGGUUAUUAAAACAACUGACAGCCUACCAAUUCACUUACAAAGACCUCUUCAAAGGUUUUGAAUAGACAAACACUGGUAGGGAAAGAUGUAUGUUUUUCAAAUUGGGAGGAAAAGAUUUAUAAUAUUAUCACUUCCAUGAAAGUAAGGGCUAGAUUUUCUGCAUUCUUACUUGUCUCCACCAGGCAACUAAAAAGUAUUGUAGGCCAUUAGGUUUGUACAUAUUUAGAGCAGUAGCAUUUGUAUGCACUUUAUAAGAUGACGUAUUAGAGGAGUAUCCCAUGAAACAUAACCACAGACCAUUCCAUAUAUGAAAACUGUAGUAGGUCUUCUCCAUGCCCCUUUUCUACUUACUAUUUUCCUUACAUACAUCAUCAAGACAAGAAGCAUAUAAGACAUAAGAACAUAUGAGACAAGUUACAUCGUGAAUUAAAGAAAAAUCUUUAAAUGUGUGUUAUAAAAACCCAUCUCAAUUUUUCAUCACGUUGUCAUGCUAAAUAAAAUUAUCUCACUGUCAGCUCUGGAAACUUUUUUGUUGGCCUGGACAGUGAUCUGUUUAUUCCCCAUUUUUCCAAUAAAUUGAUAUUUUAGAAAUAAAAUAUAUAUGUAACCAACUAACAUAAUUUAACAGAACAUAACUUCUCAAU
Molecule: long non-coding RNA, 1228 nt
Organism: Eptesicus fuscus (big brown bat)
Lineage: Eukaryota; Metazoa; Chordata; Mammalia; Chiroptera; Vespertilionidae
Exons: 3
Source: RefSeq, a predicted model, not a curated record